GCGCCGAUGGUUUAGGGUAAAAUUCUCCGUUGCCAUCCAGUGGGGAGCCGGGGGUUCGAUUCCCCCUCGGCGCA
Molecule: transfer RNA, 74 nt
Filed under: Colletotrichum fructicola Nara gc5
Lineage: Eukaryota; Fungi; Ascomycota; Sordariomycetes; Glomerellales; Glomerellaceae
Description: tRNA-Gly for anticodon GCC
Rfam family: tRNA
About the family: Transfer RNA (tRNA) molecules are approximately 80 nucleotides in length.
Source: RNAcentral